This is a long non-coding RNA of Pantherophis guttatus, 566 nucleotides long. RefSeq lists it as uncharacterized. The record is from RefSeq and is a predicted model, not a curated record. NCBI's taxonomy places the organism in Eukaryota, Metazoa, Chordata, Lepidosauria, Squamata, Colubridae.
GUAGCGCUGUCGUCACAUCCGCUGCGUUCCGAGCGAAGCACCUGCAGGCGGCGCUCCUCUCGCCGAGCCUGCGACAAUCUCUCUCUUUUCUCUUUUCUUUUCUUUUUCUUUAUCCCCCCCCCCCCCGCUGACCUUGCGCAGAUCUUCCCAGCCUAGGCGCGGUUUCGGUCGGCGGCUGCAGCGGGUUCAAGGGCGGAAGGCCGUCCACGCGUUUCUCCCUCACCCCCUCCUCAAAGGGUGAGCGGGCCGAGAGGCAGCCACCGGCGCAGUCAUGCUGGCUUUCCAGAGGGGGCUGCGGUUGCUGAAUGGGACCGUGAGGAGCCAGAUCCUCCCAAGGGCAAAGAUGUCCACCAAGUCAGGAAAGAACAGCUUCUUGGAAAAUGCCAUUGGAUUCACAGUGAUUUUUACUGGCGGCUUUUUCCCAAUUUGUUGGGUUAUGGGCAAUCUGGACAGUUACUCUAAAUGAGAAGAAAAAGCUUUGGGAACAUGGUCACGAAGAAGAAAAUAUCAAUGUUUGUUAUUCCCAGAGGCUUUCAUUAUUAAAACUAAAAUUUAAAAAUUCACAA